UACGGCCAGAUUAUGUUCAAACACCAGUUCCCAUAUGAUCACCGAAGUUAAGCAACGUCGAGCCUCGUCAAUACCUAGAUGAGUGACCGAUUGGGAAUACCAAGUGCUGUAAG
Acanthosepion pharaonis is the source of this 113-nucleotide non-coding RNA. The record is from the annotation of a GenBank genome assembly. NCBI's taxonomy places the organism in Eukaryota, Metazoa, Mollusca, Cephalopoda, Sepiida, Sepiidae.